Molecule: ribosomal RNA, 404 nt
Filed under: uncultured bacterium
Lineage: Bacteria
Description: bacterial SSU rRNA
Rfam family: Bacterial small subunit ribosomal RNA
Source: RNAcentral
UGAGGAAUCUUCCACAAUGGACGAAAGUCUGAUGGAGCGACACCGCGUGAAGGAUGAAGGCCUAACGGUUGUAAACUUCUUUUCUGAAGGAGCAUAAUGAGAGUACUUCAGGAAUAAGGGACGGCUAAAUACGUGCCAGCAGCCGCGGUAAUACGUAUGUCUCGAGCGUUACCCGGAAUCACUGGGUGUAAAGGGUUCGUAGGCGGUUAGAUAAGUUGAAUAUGAAAGACCGGGGCUCAACCUCGUGUUUGUCUUCAAAACUGUCAAACUAGAAUCAGGGAGAGGUAAGCGGAAUUCUGUGUGUAGGGGUGCAAUCCGUAGAUACACAGAGGAACACCAAAAGCGAAGGCAGCUUACUGGAACUGUAUUGACGCUCAUGAACGAAAGCGUGGGGAGCGAAAAGG